RNAcentral lists this ribosomal RNA (496 nucleotides) under uncultured bacterium. RNAcentral describes it as "partial 16S ribosomal RNA". It matches the Rfam family "Bacterial small subunit ribosomal RNA", at positions 30 to 523 of the family's 1533-position model. The record is from RNAcentral.
AUUGAACGCUGGCGGAAUGCUUUACACAUGCAAGUCGAACGGUAGAGGGGGCAACCCCUCGAGAGUGGCGAACGGGUGAGUAAUAUAUCGGAACGUGCCCAGUCGUGGGGGAUAACGUAGCGAAAGUUACGCUAAUACCGCAUACGACCUAAGGAUGAAAGCGGGGGAUCGCAAGACCUCGCGCGCUUGGAGCGGCCGAUAUCAGAUUAGGUAGUGGUUGGGGUAAAGGCUCACCAAGCCAACGAUCUGUAGCUGGUCUGAGAGGACGACCAGCCACACUGGAACUGAGACACGGUCCAGACUCCUACGGGAGGCAGCAGUGGGGAAUUUUGGACAAUGGACGCAAGUCUGAUCCAGCCAUUCCGCGUGCAGGAUGAAGGCCCUCGGGUUGUAAACUGCUUUUGUACGGAACGAAAAGGUCUCUCUUAAUACGGGGGACUCAUGACGGUACCGUAAGAAUAAGCACCGGCUAACUACGUGCCAGCCGCCGCGGUAA